AGUGAACGCUGGCGGUAGGCCUAACACAUGCAAGUCGAACGGCAGCACAGUAAGAGCUUGCUCUUACGGGUGGCGAGUGGCGGACGGGUGAGGAAUACAUCGGAAUCUACUUUUUCGUGGGGGAUAACGUAGGGAAACUUACGCUAAUACCGCAUACGACCUACGGGUGAAAGCAGGGGAUCUUCGGACCUUGCGCGAUUGAAUGAGCCGAUGUCGGAUUAGCUAGUUGGCGGGGUAAAGGCCCACCAAGGCGACGAUCCGUAGCUGGUCUGAGAGGAUGAUCAGCCACACUGGAACUGAGACACGGUCCAGACUCCUACGGGAGGCAGCAGUGGGGAAUAUUGGACAAUGGGCGUAAGCCUGAUCCAGCCAUACCGCGUGGGUGAAGAAGGCCUUCGGGUUGUAAAGCCCUUUUGUUGGGAAAGAAAAGCAGCAGGUUAACACCCCGCUGUUCUGACGGUACCCAAAGAAUAAGCACCGGCUAACUUCGUG
Molecule: ribosomal RNA, 492 nt
Filed under: uncultured bacterium
Lineage: Bacteria
Description: partial 16S ribosomal RNA
Rfam family: Bacterial small subunit ribosomal RNA
Source: RNAcentral